AAAAUAAAAAUUAAUAAAACAAACGCAGACUUCACUUCUGCACCCACUUCCCACUGCUGCUGUGAUCAGCUCCACAGACCUCGGCGCUGAAGACGACCAGAUCUUCAAACAUGCAGCUCUGUGGGUCCGAAUCAAGGUGCGGCAGGCGGCAUCCUCGGGGCCUCCUGCCGUUCCAGCCCGAGGCCCUGUGCCCCCGCUCCCCGCCAGCAGUGGAGGCAAGGUCCGCCUCUGCCACGUGCAAGCCCCAGAGACAUGCGGCCGCCUGGAUAACUCAACACAGGACUGGCUUCGGCAGCAUGAAAUCCCACCUGCAACCUCACCUCCCGAGAAGCGACGGACUCACAAGGUCAGGAACUGUGACCCAGGCACCUUUAGGACAGCAUUGCCUGCCAGCUGCUCUACUACGUGCCGUCAGCCCCCUGCCCGGUGGGUCCACACCAGUGGACUCGGCCAAGUGUGGAUCAAAAAUACUUGAGAGAGAAGGCGUCUCUACUGAACACGUUCAGACGUCUGUCACCAGCCCCCACACGACACCGUACGUGUGACAGCUGUUGGCAGCGGAUGUGCCUGCCUUGUGUGGAUGUGAAAGCAUGUGCCUUGAGCUGCGAUGGAUUCAGGACAGAAAGUGGCCGUGGAACUCUGUAAUGAGAAAUAGCGUGCUACAUGCCAGGGACUGGCUAUGAGUCUAAUGCAGAGCAUUCUGGCCACAUCAAGGGCCCUGAAGUCUAAGGCUCGGCCCAGGUCCUGCACACAGAUGACCUCAGGCUCAGCACACAGGACAGGCAGUGCCCAGUGCCCGCUCCUGGCCUGGGUCCUCAGUGAGGGGUGCACUGCUCUGCUCCGUCCGCCGGCUCAAUGAGCAAAACAGCAGGUUUACCUGGAACAACUUUGUACAAAGCUGCAGAUAAAUUAAGGGUCAAGACACAGCCGCCCAAGAGACAGGGCCUGGCCUGCUCUGAAAGCCGGAGUCCACAGACGCUUGGAGGACAUUGACAACAAGAUGACAGUGUGAGUCCUGAAGGGGCUGAGUCCAGCCUGAGCAUCUUAGGAGAACGCUGGAGCGUGGUAGCCUCGGUGGGCUGGGCAUCCAUAUGCUGCGGUGAGGAUGGGCCAUCUGCCAGCCCCAGAUCUCAUUUCAGCACAUAAUUGGCUGGAUGCGGACCUGCAGCCACCAGGGGAGAGACAGGGCCCCAGGAGCCCGGCCACCUGCUCACGGCAGGGAAGGGCGCGGAGCGACACAUGCUCAGAGCGACCUUCUAGACACCAGUCUGUACAGGAGCUACCUGGCCCAGGACCACCCUGCUCCCCAGCGUCCUCAGCUACACCCCAACACCCUCAGCUCGCACAGAGACUCCUGGGAUCGCUCCAGUACCUGCAAGCCCGAGUGCUGGCACAAUGGCUCCAUCUCUGCUAACCUCCCUGAGUCACACCCCCAGCCUCCACCUCCAUCUUCCUGGACCCUCUGUUCGGCCACUGCCCCCAAGAGACCAGGUCCCUACAACCCUCGGAACCACAACCCCAGCCAGCACAGGCACCGCACAGGAAGUUCACCUGUCCACUCCUGAGCAGAGCGUGGGACAGGGACACCACAGAGGGACAGGGGAAGGACAGAGGCUGGAACCACAGAACAGCAGUGGACCGUACCUCUGCAGCGGGGUGUGAGGACCCGCAUGAGAACCUGAUCAGACCACAAAGCUGGGGUGUUUGCACAGAGGGAAGGUGGUUCCCGGGAAGACUGACCCAAGCCUCUGGUGUCCCGGCUCUGGGUCACUUCCGAAUCAUUUAUGCGCAGUCCCCCUCUUUGGAGCCGCACAGCCGCUGUGCUGGUCCCCUGGCUUUGCUGCGGUGACGCCUCCGACCCACGGGGUGUGACGACCGCUGCCUGACUACUUCUGGGGACCUGACGGCCACUCUCACUGAAACACUGACUCUUCCCUCGGGCUGCAGAUGUCUGGUGGGUGGCCGGAACUGGGCGCGAGCUUGGCUUCUCUGUCUCCACAGUGUGUCGUCUCUGCUGUCACAACCCUUGGGUCAGAGUCUCAGCUCUGGGUGUGCACAUGGGGGUCAUUUCCAAGCCUCUGUCGUCAAGACCGCUGUGUUCUCAUCAGAGUCGGCUGACCACGGCCACCAGGAGAGGCAGCUUUUGGAGCGAUGUCCCUGGCUGGUGGAAAUGUCCCGGGCUUUCCCCGACCCCAGCAGGCCCUACGCGCUGGGCCCUCUCUGCUCCAGGCAGCCAGCUCCUCUACGGGUGGAUGCCGGCCCAGCCGGCUGGCACCUCCCGCAUGGGAACUCCUGCAUACUGGCUCUGUCCCCUGUCACCCUGUCACAGCCUCCAUGUCCAGAGUGUCUGCGGGCAGUGACAGGCCCAAGGCUGGUCCUCUCGUGAGCAGUGGGGUGGCCCCUCGGCCCCGGCUGUCCUGCUUCCUGCCGUUGGCGUGAGAACCAGAGCAUCCAACACCAGGUGCUCCGGAUUCAGAUCCCGUUCCAGCCCCGCAAAGCAGCUGCACACCGCUCCUGUGAAGGCUGGGUGGCCGUGCGCACUGCUCUCAGGGCUGGUGGCCGGGACUGUGACGAGCACAGGACAGGCACCAAGGGUCUCAGGAGCCUGAGAGACUUCCAAGCCGACCUGGUGCAGCCCGGCCUGCAGGGGGCGCUCUCCGCAUCACCGGAAGAUCACUGACCAUGGCUCCUCCUCUCCGGGGCACUGCCUGGUGUGGCCUCUCUGCCCACUCGCGUUCCCUGGACAGCACCUCAAGCAACUUUCCUCCACCCAUCUUCUGCCCUGCUGUCCUCCUGGUCAGGCUGGCAGCCACACUGGUGCCCAGGUUGGCACCCCUGCUGUCAGCAGGGUCACUCCGGUCCCUGAAUCCCCAGCCUUAGGGGCAACAGCCACAUCUCUGUGAAGAGCUGCCCACCCCAGGAGGGCCAGGGUGGCCCUAUCAGACCCUAGGGCCUCUCCAGAGCCAAAGAGUGAGUAAGAAGCUGCUCCGGGAGAGGAGGAUCACAGUUCUGCCUGGGUUCCAGGGAGGAAGCGCUGAGUGCCUGCUGGGGAGAUGAAGGACUCUUCAAUUCUGGCCUUGGCUGAGCACAGACCAGAAACAGGCCUCCAGGAGGCCCCAGGCCAGGCGGCAUCAAGGUGUUGCCCUGGGGCUUCCUCUGAGCUAUGGUGCCCCUGAAUGCUGGACAGAAGAAAGCCCGGUGGACUCCGUGGAGGAGGCCCAGGGAGGAGGCUGGCGCAGUCUCUGUCCCCGGCCUCUGGAGAUGUGCGGAGGCAGCUCACUUGGAGCAUUUGUCACGGGCUCUUUCUCUGUGGCCACCGAGGGGUCAUCAGUCAGUUUAACUGGACGCCUGCAUGCCUCCAAACUCAAGCUCAGCAGCAUUUCAUUACUGUACUGCGGGGUAGACCACUUUCCUCGGUGCUGCGGGUUUAUUUCCACCUAAAUUAUUAAGCAGCCUGUUUAAUAAUGCAAGCGCAUUGUAGAUGGGCGAGCAGAUGCCGCGCUUCAGAGCACAUUGUUCCCGACAGCAGCAGGAAAGGCGGCCUCUUCCCCCGGUCUGCCCCACUCGCCCGUCUGCUAAUCGGGGUGCGGGAGGUUUUCCUUGGUGAAUAAACGCGGCUCCACUCCCCUGUGUGCACCGAGACAGGCGACCCUGCUCCGCCUUCCUCCCAAACAACACCUGCUUCCCUCUGAUGUGCGUUGGACACAGUCUCUGGGCUGAGGGCCACCGUGUGGGCAACUUUCAGACAGAGGCGCAGAAGGGCUUCCCUCCUGCCCAAGGUGUGAGGGCGCAGAGCGGGACCAGCAGCUCAGGCGCUCCACAAAGGCUGUGUCCGGGGCUGAUUCUCAUUUCACUUCGCCCUCCACACUCCGUCUUCACGCUCCAGGGCCCAGCGAGGCUGAGCUGCUCUGAAGGUCGCGGAGAGGUGGUGGAGACGCUGGCCGCUUUGCAUGUGGAUCAGGGCUCCAUGCCAGCUCCACACCAGUGAAUCACAGACCACCGCGAGCGCAGCCACAAGCGCGUGGACAAAGCAAGACCCUGGCCUUCCCUCCCCAGCCCAACCACCAUGUCCCACCCUGCCACCAGGAGGCUGGGGACUGCGCAGCACCCUGCCCCUCCGCUCCAAGGAGGGACUGUGGCUGGGACCAUGGCUGGGGCCUCACAGCCCUGGGCGGGUUUCCCAGCAUCAGCACCUUUAAACUCUAACAGACCCUGGGAGAAGCGGAAGGAUCAGCGGCUGUGAGAAACCUGCAGGACGUCCGAUCCACUGGGUCCGGAGGCUCCUGGGAGGAUGGAGGGCGCCAGCGGGCACCGGCGGCCAUGGCCAGCCCUGCUCCAGAAACCCCUCUGGGCUUGGCUGUGGCUCUGGGAGAAGCACGGACCUGAGCUCCUUCCCGCUCGACAGGGCUUUUUGGCCUCUCCCACUGUUCAGGUCUUGUGACAGUGUUCUGGUCUUUGGACCUCAGAGACUCACUGCUUCCCCAAAUGAUGGUCACGGCCAGCAGCUGCAGGCAGGGCAGGACCCCCAGCUGCCCCCUCCCCUCCUCCAGCCAACAGGACAGAACUUGCCCUGUUGUGUGUGUGCUGUCCUGGAGAAGCGGUCCGUGGGAGCAGGUGACUGUCCCUGCCCUGCCCUGCGGCUUUGCUCCUGGACUGGGGGUAGGGGUCAGAAGGCCAGGCCUGGGAAUGUCAAGGUUCAGGGUAGGAAAAGGGCACGGAUGAGGGGAGCCAGGGUGGAAUGGAGGGGCUCUUUUUGCUGCUGAUUUAACUCACCAGCUACUUACAAUGCAGUCCUGUGUGCCAGAAAGGGGCCCAGGUCCUGGGACAAGCAGGAAGCCCUAGAUGUGAGGGACCCUCAGCCUGACGGGGGCGCAUGUCCCCCACCAGAUUAGGAGAAAAGACAGCUGCACCCAGCCAAAAUUUCUCAUUCUGUCAAAGCAGCGCACAUGAGAAGGAUCCACCAGUCCCUCCAUCCCUACCACUGGUGCUGAGGACUUGGCCCAGGUCACUCACUCCUGUCCACCCACAGGUCCUCCUGCUACAGUUGCCCCAAUCAGCAGGGCCUGGCUCAGAGGAGGCACUGGGCAUGUUGGUGAAUAGAGGUGUGUGACAUCCCUCUCACGGGCCCCAUAGACAACUGCCACAGACUCAGCCUGGAGCCAACAUCCCACGGACACCCAAUAGGACUGCCCAGCAGUCAGCCCCCACCCUGCUGUCCCCAGGAAAGCCAUCCCUCACUUGUGGCCAGAAUACCCCACGUGGAAUACCCAAAGCCUGCAUGGCAAGGCCACUACUGGGUGCUAGAGGGACCUGCAGGAGGCUGGGCUGAGUGAGGAGAGAGAGGCUGGCUCUGAGGGAGGAGGAGGCGGGCAGUGCUGACUAUGACUGCUCUACAUGGCUCGGAGGAACACCCAGCUGACAGCCGAGGUGCCUCCGGGAGCCUUGCUGGGGCUUAGAGUGCCACACCCAGGGUCAGGGAGGGCUGCCAUUCUGUAGGCCACCCAUUUGUGGAGAUGGCCAGAGGUUAGCUCCAAGGGCGGAGGAGGCACAUACACACAGCAAGAAAAUGCUAGUGAUGACCGCAUGGCAGAGUCGGCGAAGAAGGGGAAGCCACUGCAUGCCGAGGGCCUUCACAGGAGAGAGCCACGCCCGGCCUCGAGGCAAAGCUGGCAGCGGGAGGCAGGGCCACAGGGAACACAGGGAGACAAGGAGGCGGCCAGGCAGAGCCCAGGCCUAGCAAGGGUGGUGGGGUGGGGAGGGCUCAGCAUAGGAGGGGACAGGGCCGGGCAUGCUCUGUCCGAGGUCUGACCCACGAAGUGCCCUGCUGAGCCCCAGCGAGGGAGGGAGAGGGCCAGAAGCUCACAGGUGGUGCCCCGGGUAGAAAGGUGCCAAGAAGACCAGAAGAGGAUGCGGCUGUGGCUGCUGGGCAGAAAUGAGAAACGCAAGCUUUGUUUCACGGGGUGGCCUAGAGGCGGUCCAGGAGCCCCUGAGACCCCACGCUCACUAUGCCCUGACUUUGAUGACGGGGAGACAGCGCAGAUACCGUGACCUGCCACCUCCCUGUGAGGCUAGAGGGCAGCUGGGUGGAGGGUGGAGAGUGGCAGGGACCGUGAGGGGGUGUGGCACCCCACCCAGAGGUGCGCAGGUGGUGGACUCAGUUCUGCAGUCGCGACGCAGACUGUGCUUCCUCGUCCGCAGGAAGGGAGAGCUACCCGGGCGCCCGGAGCGCCCAGGCCUGAGGCCCAGCAGUGUCCCAUCGGGGGGAGACAGGAGGCUGCUCUGGUUCCCGCACUGGUGGCCGGCUUCCCCGCAAUGCCUGUGGGUGGGGUCUGCGGAGCCCCGGGUCUGGGGUCUGGGGUCUGGGUGAAUGAGCGGACGAGCGCUCUCUUUCCCUUCUCUGACAGGGUCUGUAGAAAUUUGGCAUGCUUCCUCUUCAAACCCCGGAAAGCGCUCAGGGGGAACCAUCCGUACCUGGUUUGUUCAUUUUCUGGGGCUAUGCUGUCUUGGUUAAUUGUGAAUCCAAGUUCUUGAUUUUCUCAUGUCAGUUUGGAAAAUGUGGUUUUUUAAAGAAUAACUCAUCAAGGGCUGGGGAUUUAGCUC
Long non-coding RNA from Chinchilla lanigera (long-tailed chinchilla), 6600 nucleotides. RefSeq lists it as uncharacterized. The record is from RefSeq and is a predicted model, not a curated record. The transcript has 6 exons. NCBI's taxonomy places the organism in Eukaryota, Metazoa, Chordata, Mammalia, Rodentia, Chinchillidae.